AUACGGAAGGUGCGAGCGUUAUCCGGAAUCACUGGGUUUAAAGGGUGCGUAGGCGGCAUGAUAAGUCAGAGGUGAAAGCCCUCAGCUUAACUGAGGAAUUGCCUUUGAUACUGUUGUGCUUGAAAGGGGAUGAGGUGAGCGGAAUGUGGCAUGUAACGGUGAAAUGUGUAGAUAUGCCAUAGAACACCGAUUGCGAAGGCAGCUAACUGGGCCUACUUUGACGCUGAGGCACGAAAGCGUGGGGAGCGAACAGGAGUAGAAACCCUAGUAGUCC
Molecule: ribosomal RNA, 274 nt
Filed under: uncultured bacterium
Lineage: Bacteria
Description: partial 16S ribosomal RNA
Rfam family: Bacterial small subunit ribosomal RNA
Source: RNAcentral